Molecule: long non-coding RNA, 482 nt
Filed under: Monodelphis domestica (gray short-tailed opossum)
Lineage: Eukaryota; Metazoa; Chordata; Mammalia; Didelphimorphia; Didelphidae
Description: lncRNA (ENSMODG00000036551.1)
Source: RNAcentral
GUCAGUCUUUUGUUAGUUCCCAAAGUGAUGAAAUUCUACCAUGCAGGGAUUUCAUAGUGGCUCUAUUGAUUCAUACCUUCAGCAGACUCCAUCCCAGUGACUUAAGUUUUUGCUUAAAUUUCUUCUAAAAUAUACUCUCCUAAAACUUGUCUAGUUUUGAGUCCCCUAUAGAAGUAGUAAUAGACAAAUCCUGAGAUCUUUUUAGCACCAGGAGUUCAUUCCUCAUUCCCAGUUCUACUCCUGUCAUAUCUCUUUAUAAUUCUGACAUCAGCAUGAUUCAGCACAUUUUCCAUCCUGACCUUUGCAUCUGAGAGUGAAUUUGCCACUAACAGACCUCAGGACAGCCAUUCCUCAACCUAUCAGACUGAGACAAAUUAACCUCCCCCCACCUGAAAACAACCAAUGAAAUCUCCAACUCAUCCCCCCACCAUCUUUUUCUUUUUUAUACAAAGAAAAAGGAAGGAAAGAAAGAAAGAAAGGAA